CCUACGGGUGGCAGCAGUAGGGAAUCUUUCACAAUGGGCGAAAGCCUGAUGGAGCAACGCCGCGUGCAGGAUGAAGGCCUUCGGGUUGUAAACUGCUUUUAUAAGCGAGAAAUAUGAUGGUAACUUAUGAAUAAGGAUCGGCUAACUACGUUCCAGCAGCCGCGGUCAUACGUAGGAUCCGAGCAUUAUCCGGAGUGACUGGGUGUAAAGAGUUUCCUAGGUGGCAUAAUAAGUAGCUAGUGAAAGCUGGUGGCUCAACCAUUCAGACUAUUAGUGAAACUGUUAAGCUCGAGACCGUUAGGGGUAACUGGAAUUUCUAGUGUAGGAGUGAAAUCCGUAGAUAUUAGAAAGAACACCGAUAGCGUAGGCAGGUUACUAGAACGGUUCUGGCACUGAGGCACGAAAGCGUAGGGAGCAAACGGGAUUAGAUACCCCUGUAGUC
RNAcentral lists this ribosomal RNA (442 nucleotides) under uncultured bacterium. RNAcentral's name for it is "partial 16S ribosomal RNA". It matches the Rfam family "Bacterial small subunit ribosomal RNA", at positions 338 to 795 of the family's 1533-position model. The record is from RNAcentral.